UUUGAUAACUCUUCUCUUGUGAAUCCAGGCAACAAUCAAGGGGGUCUCAAGUUUUAAUGCUGAGCAAGAAGCACACGCUCUAAGGAAAGCAAUGAAGGGGUUUGGCACGGAUGAAGAUGCCAUCAUCGAGACCUUGACCAAACUGAAUGUUUCCCAACGGCAGCAAGUUCUGAUCACCUAUAAAUCUGCUAUUGGCAGGGAUCUGAUUGCUGACCUGAAGUCUGAGCUGAGUGGGAAUUUCGAAAGGGUGAUCGUGGGGAUGAUGACUCCCACCACCUUGUACGACGUGCAUGAACUGAGGAGGGCUG
Molecule: non-coding RNA, 308 nt
Organism: Tinamus guttatus (white-throated tinamou)
Lineage: Eukaryota; Metazoa; Chordata; Aves; Tinamiformes; Tinamidae
Source: RefSeq, a predicted model, not a curated record